This 828-nucleotide ribosomal RNA is filed under the name Hypoxylon sp. RNAcentral's name for it is "partial large subunit ribosomal RNA". It matches the Rfam family "Eukaryotic large subunit ribosomal RNA", at positions 77 to 930 of the family's 3401-position model. Lineage: Eukaryota; Fungi; Ascomycota; Sordariomycetes; Xylariales; Hypoxylaceae. The record is from RNAcentral.
GCCCUAGUAACGGCGAGUGAAGCGGCAACAGCUCAAAUUUGAAAUCUGGCUCUCGCGGCCCGAGUUGUAAUUUGUAGAGGAUGCUUUUGGUGCGGUGCCUUCCGAGUUCCCUGGAAUGGGACGCCAGAGAGGGUGAGAGCCCCGUACGGUUGGACGCCUACCCUAUACAUAGCUCCUUCGACGAGUCGAGUAGUUUGGGAAUGCUGCUCUAAAUGGGAGGUAAAUUUCUUCUAAAGCUAAAUACUGGCCAGAGACCGAUAGCGCACAAGUAGAGUGAUCGAAAGAUGAAAAGUACUUUGAAAAGAGGGUUAAAUAGCACGUGAAAUUGCUGAAAGGGAAGCGUUUGCGACCAGACAUUUCCAUGGCGGAUCAUCCGGUGUUCUCACCGGUGCACUUCGCCUGGUUUAGGCCAGCAUCGGUUCUCUUUAGGGGGAUAAAGGCCUGGGGAAUGUGGCUCCCUCGGGAGUGUUAUAGCCCCUCGCGCAAUACCCUUCGGGGGACUGAGGAUCGCGCUUUUGCAAGGAUGCUGGCGUAAUGGUUGUCAACGACCCGUCUUGAAACACGGACCAAGGAGUCGAACAUUUAUGCGAGUGUUUGGGUGUUAAACCCUCACGCGUAAUGAAAGUGAACGGAGGUGAGAGCCCUCGCGGGCGCAUCAUCGACCGAUCCUGAUGUCUUCGGAUGGAUUUGAGUAAGAGCAUAGCUGUUCGGACCCGAAAGAUGGUGAACUAUGCGUGGAUAGGGUGAAGCCAGAGGAAACUCUGGUGGAGGCUCGCAGCGGUUCUGACGUGCAAAUCGAUCGUCAAAUCUGCGCAUGGGGGCGAAAGA